Non-coding RNA from Camellia sinensis, 1316 nucleotides. The record is from RefSeq and is a predicted model, not a curated record. Lineage: Eukaryota; Viridiplantae; Streptophyta; Magnoliopsida; Ericales; Theaceae.
GAGAAAAAAAUAUUUUAUUCACAUUUCACUUUUUUUUUUUUUUCCUUUUCAAAUUUCUUCUCAAAUCUCCCAAACGAAGUAAAAUGUAAGUAUUUUUCAUUCACAUUUUACCUAUUUUUUCAUUUUUUUUUUUAAAUUCCUUCCCAAAUCCCCAACCAAACACAACGUUAUGAUUUUUUUUUGGAGGGGGGGAGGGGGUUUGGAUUUGUAGAGAUAAUUGUUAAAGAAACAAAAAAACAAAAAAACCGAAAAACAAAAAAUGAUAAUCUAAGAACAGCAAUGAUAGAGACCACUAAAAGUCGUAUUCUAAACCAUCACUAAUGAAUUGGCAUCCAUUUUUAAAAAAAAGAGGCACAAAAAUACUGUAGGAUAAAGAACCGUGUGCCCUCUAUCCGAAGUAGUAGAUUCAUUUAUCCUUUUUUAUUUUUUGGCCCCAUAUUUUAGAUUCCAUUAUAAUAAAAUUGGAGCCACGAUUGAUUCAAUAAUUUGUUACAGUUGGAAACAUUAAGAGGGGAUGACGGCAAACUUAUUAAGCAGCCUGACCCACCAGCAGAUUCAAAGGAGCUACCUUCCCCCACGGUUGGCUAAUCAAUAACUGAGAUUGCCAAUGAGGCAGAUGGUGGCAGUGAUGACGACAACGACAGUGGAGGAGAAGAGAUAGUCAGAGAGCUUAGGGAGAUUAAAAGACAGAAUUUUAUCACUCAUUGCCUCCUUUCAGCCAUGAUUGUCCUUACCGUAGCGUGGCAGCUAUCCAAGGAAUGCUCAAAGGGCCUGUUGUAAGUGAUCAAAAUGGAGCGAAAAAGUCCUCUUCAAAGCAACAGCAGGUUGAUGGCCCUUCUCUCCCUCCCCUCAAAAUUGCAGAGCUGCCCCAUUUGGGCAGUAAUAAGGACUGAGGAUAUUCUAGGGUUUUUAUGUUUGAAACAAAUGCCAAGUGUGUAGUAGGUUCAUGGCAAAGUCUAGUAUGCACCCAAUCAAUUUUACUGUCAACAGCACCCUGGAGUAACAUAAACUAUUAACAAGGACAAGCAUAAAGAAGCACGUGAUGCGAAAACAACUCUGAAUUUAUUAAAUUGGACAAAAUCACACUCCAAAAUACAAUACAUGAUAUAGAGGGGUGCUCACACUUUGUACAUUUCCCCAUGCAUUUCUUUAAAUACAAGUAAUGAACAUAAUGUUCAAGCAUCAAUCCAAUCAUGAACAAAAAAUCAAGGGGAAAAAAAAAACUCUUCCAUCAAUUCAUCCUAUUAAACAAAGCAAUCUCUGAAGUAUGGAGGAUAGAAUAAUAAAAGACACGACAAAUUACAGAACAUAACCAA